CUCGAAACCUUCAUCGCAGUAUGUUUUCGUCAUGUCUGUAGCGGCUCGCUGCCUGCUAUAUAAAACGCAUUUCCCUUCGGCGUAUUCACAUUCAGUGCGAUCUCAAGCGAGGCCGAUACAAACUUCGACACAAAACUCAACACGUUAUUCCACACUGAAUUCAGGUCGAGCAGCCUGCAGUUCCAGCAAGAACGCAAUGCGAAUGCAAUGAAAGGGACAGGAGAGACCACGGCAAUAUUUGUCGCCGGCAUCUUCGCUGUUCUGACGGUUGCCUGCUCGGCUUCUUCUUAUGAUGAAUGUCCAGACCACCAGCUCGUAUCGGACGCUGCGAUUAACGGUGCCAUCUCUUCAAUGAAGAACAUCUACUUCACUGAGGAAUUCGGGCUCGCGCAAUGGUGGUGGAGCCCUUUGGCCCUUAAUUUAACAUCACUAUACUUCUCCAUAGAGGGCACUUUCGAGCCUUUUACGCGAUACUGCAAAGGAGUAGACGCCAUGGUGGAUGCGGAACUUGAGUUUAACUGGGUCGUCAAUGCAGAAUGCACUAUUGGAGACCAGAAAGACUUCCUGGGAGCCGCUCGUGUGUAUUUCAACCAAGGGGUAGCCAUGGUCCAGUUCCAGUUGAACUCGUCCUCAGAAAAUCAAACUUUCACGUUGCACCCAGCAGCAGUGCGUCCCACGAGGCAGGGGACUAUUUCAACCAGAUUCUACACCAUUGAGGCGCGAUAUUACAUGGAAUCGGUGCAUAUUCUGGUGAACCAGUUGGUUAAGCUCUAUGCAAAUGAUAUAGUUAGCUGGAUGUCGGAGCGUUUUGUUAUUGAGAACGUUUUAGAGUGGGGAAUAAAUAAAAUGGCGCCCUUUUACCUAGGCUUGUAGAGCAAUAAUCCAUAAAGUGUACAAAGUUACAGUACCCAAAUAACAAAACAUCUCGUUAAAAACUUUACUAGCUGCAUUUAUAAGUGUGAUUCAUUUAUUUCCGGUCAUGAUCCGGAAAUAAAUGAUCCGGAAACAAGAUGAUCCCGGCGCACGUGUACAAAUCUAAAUUAGUAACUGAAACGUUCUCCUUAGGGUCGUGCUUCAAUCAUUUUCAAAAAAGUAAAAGUUUGGUUUCGCGAACAAAUUUCUGUGGUCAAUGAGGUUAAAUUCAGGCUAUCCUCCUGCGUUGUCCUGGCAUCUAUGUCUGAAUGCGUUACGCUGAUCAUUCUAAAGCAUUGGUCCUCGUGCAAAUGCCUACUUGUCUUAUUUUAUGCGCUCGCGAUUUUUAUAUUUCAAUAAAUUUAGAAAAUCUUC
Long non-coding RNA from Dermacentor albipictus, 1287 nucleotides. RefSeq lists it as uncharacterized. The record is from RefSeq and is a predicted model, not a curated record. NCBI's taxonomy places the organism in Eukaryota, Metazoa, Arthropoda, Arachnida, Ixodida, Ixodidae.